GACGAACGCUGGCGGCGUGCUUAACACAUGCAAGUCGAACGGUAAGGCCCUGCUUUUGUGGGGUGCUCGAGUGGCGAACGGGUGAGUAUCACGUGAGUAACCUGCCCUUGACUUUGGGAUAACUUCAGGAAACUGGGGCUAAUACCGGAUAGGAGCUCCUUCUGCAUGGUGGGGGUUGGAAAGUUUCGGCGGUUGGGGAUGGACUCGCGGUUUAUCAGCGUGUUGGUGGGUUAGUGGCUUACCAAGGCUUUGACGGGUAGCCGGCCUGAGAGGGUGACCGGCCACAUUGGGACUGAGAUACGGCCCAGACUCCUACGGGAGGCAGCAGUGGGGAAUAGUGCACAAUGGGCGGAAGCCUGAUGCAGCAACGCCGCGUGCGGGAUGACGGCCUUCGGGUUGUAAACCGCUUUCGCCUGUGACGAAGCGUGAGUGACGGUAAUGGGUAAAGAAGCACCGGCUAACUACGUG
This 468-nucleotide ribosomal RNA is filed under the name uncultured bacterium. RNAcentral describes it as "partial 16S ribosomal RNA". It matches the Rfam family "Bacterial small subunit ribosomal RNA", at positions 28 to 507 of the family's 1533-position model. The record is from RNAcentral.